Molecule: non-coding RNA, 179 nt
Filed under: Verrucomicrobiia bacterium
Lineage: Bacteria; Pseudomonadati; Verrucomicrobiota; Verrucomicrobiia
Also listed under: 1 other name
Description: 6S RNA
Rfam family: 6S / SsrS RNA
About the family: E. coli 6S RNA was the first non coding RNA to be sequenced, but its function was unknown until recently. It consists of 184 nucleotides that fold into an extended hairpin structure with a large single-stranded internal bulge. The 6S RNA specifically associates with RNA polymerase holoenzyme containing the sigma70 specificity factor.
Source: RNAcentral
CAUGCCCUGGGUUAAUCGUGCUGAUUGAAGAAUGUCUUUCUGCCGAUGUAAACCUUAUGGGGGCUGAUGGCUUGUCCGACGUCACGCCUCAUACAGGAAGACGGACGACAUGUUCAAGACGCUCCCACCUUGAUUGUAUGGGUUGAAAGCCCCUUCACCACGUUAAUCCUGGGGCAGCA